CGUCCGUCUCUCUCCCUUUCUCCGUCUCUCUCGUCCGUUUCUCUCCCUUUCUCCGUCUCACUCGUCUGUUUCUCUCCCUUUCUCCGUCUCACUCGUCUGUUUCUCUCCCUUUGUUUUCUACAUUUAUCGCUAUCUGCCUUUCAUGCGUAACCUUAUUUAGCUCAUCUGGCUUGCUCUCGCUGUUGAGUCCAAUGUUUACUUCAGGAAUGCACAGAUCUGAUUGGCUAAGUGGUAUCACGUGGGAUGACUUAACUCGCAUGCAAUUGGUCUGUGCAUUUCCACUACCACUAUUGUAAAGGUUGCAAAAGCUGCGCCGGUUAAAAUAGAAGCGUCCCGUCAAGUUUUACAUCAUAUUUUUUGUUUUGGCUCUAGCGGUCCGCCAGUUAGUGACCUAUACCGUACAGUAUUUCCAUGUAUUCAAAUGCUGCGUUCACGUAUUUACACUACAAUCCAAGACGCUAUAUCAGUCAAACUUGCUAACACACACUCACACGGGGUAAAACCAAACCCUAUUCAUUCACCAAUCAGACCCGAUCGUUUUUUUUUUUUCUCCUCUCCCUAUUUUUUAUUUUUUUUAAUUCAUUUGCGUGACGAAUGACAAGGCGGCAGACCUAAACACAGUCAGUUUACUUGGUGGAUUUGGAGCGGCAAUUUUCACACAAAAGAGAAGAAAAACGAGCGUCAGUGUGGAAAAUGCUGGUGGCGACGGAGAUAGUGACGAUGUAACAACAUUGGUUCCGAAAAAAGGCAAGCAAAGAAGUUACAUAUGGACGUUUCUCAAUCGGAAGGCUGCAGCCUCCGAAGGUCGCAUAUGCAGGCUGCAUACGUGGGACUGAUUCUCCAUGCUGAUGAAAAUUUCUGCCACUGCACCACUACACUCUGACUCUCCCUGCUAGUCCAAGGCUGAUACUGCUGGUUGCUGGUGAUGAAGUCACACUUAGAGGCUGGAUGCAUUGAAAACAACAUCAUCUGUGAAGGCAUCCACCAAAGCUUCAUCAGAGGGCUGGCUGCAGUUUUCGCCACCUACUAUGUGUUCAACUUGCAAUACCAAGAGGAAGCUGCCAGGACACUGGACUUUGUUCAAAGCCCUCUCUGAGCUUCGGGCGGCUUCAAAACAUAGUCCUUAUACAUGGAGUACACCACACCUGCAACGACACCACAGUGUAGAAUAGUACCUAAAGUCAUGGCUCCCACCACGAAGCCCUGCGCUGCCACACGCAUGUGGAUCAGUUGCACGGACAUCUUCAUAUUGCCCCUGCUCUUCAUCUUGUACAGUCUGUGUGCCACAAUGGCAAAGAGAACCG
This is a long non-coding RNA of Tachysurus fulvidraco (yellow catfish), 1304 nucleotides long. RefSeq lists it as uncharacterized. The transcript is spliced from 5 exons. The record is from RefSeq and is a predicted model, not a curated record. NCBI's taxonomy places the organism in Eukaryota, Metazoa, Chordata, Actinopteri, Siluriformes, Bagridae.